This 402-nucleotide ribosomal RNA is filed under the name Verrucomicrobiota bacterium. RNAcentral's name for it is "Verrucomicrobia bacterium partial 16S ribosomal RNA". It matches the Rfam family "Bacterial small subunit ribosomal RNA", at positions 355 to 776 of the family's 1533-position model. Lineage: Bacteria; Pseudomonadati; Verrucomicrobiota. The record is from RNAcentral.
UGGGGAAUUUUGCACAAUGGGGGAAACCCUGAUGCAGCGACGCCGCGUGAUUUAGAAGGCCUUCGGGUUGUAAAAAUCUUUUCUAUGGGAAGAAAAUGACAGUACCAUAGGAAUAAAGACUGGCUAAUUACGUGCCAGCAGCCGCGGUAAUACGUAAGGUCCGAGCGUUGUCCGGAAUCAUUGGGCGUAAAGGGUACGUAGGCGGGUAAGCAAGUUAGAAGUGAAAUCCUGUAGCUCAACUACAGUAAGCUUUUAAAACUGCUCAUCUUGAGAUAUGGAAGGGAAAGUGGAAUUCCUAGUGUAGCGGUGAAAUGCGCAGAUAUUAGGAGGAAUACCGGUGGCGAAGGCGACUUUCUGGCCAUAAUCUGACGCUGAGGUACGAAAGCGUGGGUAGCAAACAGG